RNAcentral lists this long non-coding RNA (437 nucleotides) under Equus asinus (donkey). RNAcentral describes it as "lncRNA (ENSEASG00005038741.1)". Lineage: Eukaryota; Metazoa; Chordata; Mammalia; Perissodactyla; Equidae. The record is from RNAcentral.
CGGCUGCAAAGGUGAUCUAGUCACCGAAUCAUGGAAUGUUAGAGAGCUGGAAGGGACGUCGAAGGACUUCGAGGCCAAUCCUGAGAAUUAACAGAACUAACAUCUGGAGAAGUAAUCCAGAUCUGAGCUCAGAGUGCUGUUCUGGAGUCUCUGUUACUCCAGUCUAGCCCUGUUGCACAGUGGUAUUGACACGAAGUCCUUGGAAACCACCAAUCAUUCUCCAGGGCCAUGAGUUGCUGAGGGAAUAUGGAAGACAGUGGAAUAGUACUCAAGGAAGAAGCCCAAGCCAUGAAAGUCCACCCAGAUGCAGCCUGCUGCUGGGCCUCUGCCUGCCACGCCCGUUCCUGCCUUGACCUUCCACACACUGGUCUCCAAGUCUCAAGUUCUCUGUUAUGUAUCUCUAGCUACACACAACCUGGUAACCUGUUGUAAUUCCC